GAGGGGGCGGUCAGUGGCUGGGCACUGUGCCGCCUCCGCCGCUGCAUCACCCCCGCCCUCCUUCCUCUCCCUUCCCCUCCCGUCUUCUUGCACAGCCGGCACCGCCCCCGCCCCGGAGCGCCCCCCACCUCCCCCCCCACCCCCGUAGCUUGGAGGGACUACAGUCUCUCUGGUUGGCGUGCAGCCCCGCCCGCACCCGCUGUGGCUGGGGGUCCUCCCACCCAAACUCUCCCUGGCUUCUUCCCACUCUCCAUCGCCCGAGACGGCCGCUGGUCCCUGCGCCCCGCAUGUCCCGAGGCUCUCUCCGCAGACCCCCGCCCUCAACUUCUUACCCCAGUUUGGGCAAAAGGCUGCACCGCUCUUUGUCCCAGGCCCAAGCCAUGGUGGGUGGGUGGGCGCCGUGGGCCGGGGAGAAAGGCGGAGCGCUGUGCUGGGCCGGGGACGAGGCUGGGUGACGGCGGCAACGCCGGGAGUCUGCAGUGUGCGGGAGAGAAGUGAGCGCAGAGCGCCCGGCGAGCAGGUGCCUGUGGCGCGGAGAGCGCAAGAGCGAGCCAGCGAGCAGCAGCCUUCUUCAUGGAAAAGGGCUCAGGAGUGAGAUGACCCAGAUUUGAGUCCUGGCUCCAGCUGCCUUUCCAGGGUGGCCCAUUGUGGAGUGAAAAUAUGAACAACGGACUUGGCAGGGCUGCAGAGAGGAUCAGGUGAGAGAAGGGUGAGGGGAGAAUGUACCCCCUCUCCCCACAUCUGCAUGACUCCCCCAUGUCUCUCUGGGGGUGCUGUUCCUCCUAUCUUGUUGGAUAGGAGACACCACUGGAGGUGAAAAGAUUCAGGCCUCCUGCCCCAGGGGGCCUGGUGGCUCAUGCAUAACUCAAAGACAUGAUGCAUAAAUGGUACAUCUCAGGUAUAUUUGAGUUGUUGUAUGGGUUUUUCUGGGAGGGCCUCUCAAAUUCCACCAGGCAGGAGGUUUUCCACUGGCCUCUGACUUAGGGGAUCCUGGCAGCCCAGCCUGGCUGGGCCAGAUCACCUAGUCUGCUGCUGGGAAACCUACCUUGCAAGUGGGAGCCAGGCAGGACUUCCCAUACGCAGCCCCUGCACUGAUGGGGAGUGUGUGGAUGUGGAAAGGAGUGCAGCUAGAUGGCAGUCCAGGGGGACAGGAACUCAGGUUCCCAGUGCCCAGUCCCACAGGCCUGGGCCAUUCUCCCUGCAUCUUCCAGCCCCACUGUCCUCCCUGAGUACCCAGGCCACAGGGCAGGCAAGGGUAAAAUCCUGGGUGGAUUCUGGGUCCAGGAGAGGCCUCCCCACUACUCCACUUCCCUCUGGGGCAUCUGAGAGCUGGAACUGGCAGCACCUGGUAGAUCAGAGUCAGUCACUGGGCCCUAAGAAAGUACAGGCCAAGGGAGAGGCUGGGAGCGCUUGGAGCACCCACUGCCAGGCUCCCACCAGGGUCCCCAAUCUAUGCUGCCUGGUGGUAAGUUUGGGCUUCCACCCCACUUGCUCCAUUCCCCCCUCCUCCCCACCUCCUCUCUCUGCCUGGAACCAGCGGCCUGGCUUAGGGUCCGCUCUGCUGGAAGCCCUGGCCUCUGUACUCUGGGCCUCCCCACACCAUCUACACAGCAGGGCUGGACAGACCUUCUUUCCUUCUUCAGGAUCCAGUGUAGGGGUGGAUUAGAAUGGACUUUGGGUGGGGUUAGGUGUGGUGUCGAGGGGCUCUGAGGGACAGAGGAGGUACCUGCUGGCUGCCUGCACCCCUCACUCAAGCAUCCAUCCUGAACCAGGCAGACUCGACUCCCAAGUAACCUCAAAGGUGAGGGUCCUCACCCUGGGCCACCCUGGUCACUGCUGGGGGUGGCCUGGCAUAGCACUUUGAAGAAUCAGUUUGGGGUCAUAUGAGCCUGGCCCAGUGACCUUAAGUAGAUUCCCUAACUUCUUGUAACCUCAUUGGGAAAUGGGGGUGAUAGCAAUGCCUUCCUAAGAGCGCCCACGUGGGCAAUAAUAAUAGCGUGUGGGAGCACUGAGCACGGCUCUGUGUACCUGGAAAGGCUCUGUGGUGUCAUCAUCAUGAGUGUCACUCCCCCAGGUCAUAUCCCUGCACACUGCGCCAAGGGGCCCUGGGAGGCUGGGCUCUCUGGGCCUGCUCCUUCUCCAGACUUUUUUUUUUUUUUUUGCUUUUUAGGGCCACACCUGCAGCAUAUAGAGGUUCCCAGGCUAGGGGUCCAAUCAGAGCUGUAGCUUCCGGCCUACACCACAGCCACAGGCACGCAGGAUCUGAGCCAUAUCUGCAACCUACACUACAGCUCACGGCAACGUCGGAUCCUUAACCCGCUGAGCGAGGCCAGGGAUCAAACCUGUGUCCUCAUGGAUACUGGUCAGGUUUAUAACCCGCUGAGCCACAACAGGAACUCCUCUCCAGAUUUUGAGAGGCCACGGAGGAGAGUUCCCGGGAGCGCCGUCGGAAGGGACUAGGCUGGUGGGAAUUCUCUUAGUAUAUUUUAAACUAGGGCUCUUUUCGGUUUUCAGGCCAUUUCCACAAAUCUCUCCCGACGCCACAUUCUCUCCCCACACCUCUCCUGGUCACCUCCGGCCUACAGUUUAUCACAGUCCUGUUCCCUUCUUCCCGGCACCGUAAAUCUGUGCGCGGCGGCCCAGCCAAUGAAACACCCUGACACAAA
RNAcentral lists this long non-coding RNA (2666 nucleotides) under Sus scrofa (pig). RNAcentral describes it as "lncRNA (ENSSSCG00065020895.1)". The record is from RNAcentral. Lineage: Eukaryota; Metazoa; Chordata; Mammalia; Artiodactyla; Suidae.